RNAcentral lists this ribosomal RNA (483 nucleotides) under uncultured bacterium. Its description in RNAcentral is "partial 16S ribosomal RNA". It matches the Rfam family "Bacterial small subunit ribosomal RNA", at positions 28 to 523 of the family's 1533-position model. The record is from RNAcentral.
GACGAACGCUGGCGGCGUGCUUAACACAUGCAAGUCGAACGAUGAAGCCGGAGCUUGCUCCGGUGGAUUAGUGGCGAACGGGUGAGUAACACGUGAGCAAUCUGCCCUUGACUCUGGGAUAACUGCGGGAAACUGUAGCUAAUACCGGAUACGACACCUUGGGGCAUCCCAGGGUGUGGAAAGAAUUUCGGUCAAGGAUGAGCUCGCGGCCUAUCAGCUAGUUGGUGAGGUAAUGGCUCACCAAGGCGACGACGGGUAGCCGGCCUGAGAGGGUGAACGGCCAUACUGGGACUGAGAUACGGCCCAGACUCCUACGGGAGGCAGCAGUGGGGAAUAUUGCACAAUGGGCGCAAGCCUGAUGCAGCGACGCCGCGUGAGGGAUGGCGGCCUUCGGGUUGUAAACCUCUUUCAGUAGGGACGAAGCGCAAGUGACGGUACCUACAGAAGAAGGACCGGCCAACUACGUGCCAGCAGCCGCAGUAA